Helianthus annuus (common sunflower) is the source of this 388-nucleotide long non-coding RNA. RefSeq lists it as uncharacterized. The record is from RefSeq and is a predicted model, not a curated record. Lineage: Eukaryota; Viridiplantae; Streptophyta; Magnoliopsida; Asterales; Asteraceae. The transcript has 3 exons.
CUAGGGCUUGUAACUUGCCCGGACGAUAUCUCCUUCAAUUCUUAACCUUUUCAGGGUGAUUUAGUCAAUUGUUAUUCCUCGUGUACCCGUGCGAUAAAUCUCGUGGAUUAACUCUUCGCAACCUGUUUUCAAAGUUGAUGAUCAAGUGAUGUGGAGACGUAGCAUGGGCCUUAGGAAAUUAAAUUGAAAUCUUGAUAUAUUUGUUUUGAAUAAUGUAUGAACAAUUUUGACUAUUAUAUGUUAUGUGACUAUUUAAAUGGUUAUGCUUUAAAUAUUGAAACAAUAAUUAGUUGUCAUGAGCUACGGGCAAUCAUCAUGCCCCGUACCUUUCCGCUGCGGGUCGGGGUGUGACAUCACGCUCCAUGUUCAUGUCAAACUCCGGGUGCGA